This 270-nucleotide long non-coding RNA is filed under the name Oryza sativa Indica Group (long-grained rice). RNAcentral describes it as "lncRNA OsLiXu_11g0017290". Lineage: Eukaryota; Viridiplantae; Streptophyta; Magnoliopsida; Poales; Poaceae. The record is from RNAcentral.
GUCAAUCGACUAAAAGGAUAUCAUAGCAACUCUCAGCUACAAGCAGUACAUUCUAAAAGAAAGAGAGUCCAAUGCGACGCAGCUGAUCGAGAAGACCUCCUGAGUCAGCAAAGAUAUCCAUUCAAGGACAUAUAUGAGGACGAUGACUUGUCAUUCUCUACUGAAAAGUAUCAUAAUGAUGCAAACCAGGAAGAACCCCAUUAUCAAGAAGCACCACCAUCACCAUGGUCCGCUCAUUCCUUUCGACAAGAAGAGGGUGUUUCAGAUUAA